Molecule: long non-coding RNA, 408 nt
Organism: Neofelis nebulosa (Clouded leopard)
Lineage: Eukaryota; Metazoa; Chordata; Mammalia; Carnivora; Felidae
Exons: 3
Source: RefSeq, a predicted model, not a curated record
CAGUGGAGAAAGAGAAGAGAACCCCACCUUUAAUGUGGUGAUCCUGACUCGUUCAUUUCCAACCUGGUUUCUUCUCCAUGGCUCACAUGCCUAUUUCCAGGGCUGGGUGCCGUAGGACAUGCUCCAAUAGCACAAUGACCUGUGUCUCUGCACCCUCAUGUCCCCAGCAAUCAAAAAUGAUGCUUAAUAUGUCACAGCUUAUGAUUGUGACCCCCUGUGGACAAUUUCUGGAGCAGGACCUUGCAUUUGCAGGCUGAAGUGGGACCCAAGAAGGCAGUUGGAGGAGCAGAGAGAUGCCAGAAUACAGUAAAGAAAGUGUUACCAUAUUCUGUUAUUAAAGAAGACAUUGGGUCUACUGGAGUUGAGAAUUACGAAGAUAUAACAUGAAGUCAUAUAGAAAUCAUACAG